Carassius auratus (goldfish) is the source of this 661-nucleotide long non-coding RNA. RefSeq lists it as uncharacterized. The transcript has 2 exons. Lineage: Eukaryota; Metazoa; Chordata; Actinopteri; Cypriniformes; Cyprinidae. The record is from RefSeq and is a predicted model, not a curated record.
UGCUGCUGUUGCUGGUUUUCUGUUGAUUGUAACUGGAGUCGGGAUCUUCUUCAUCUGCAGGAAACACAGAAAAACAGACCAAGAAGUUAAGACCCAUGACAGUGAGAUCACUUACGCUGAAUAUACUGCACUUUCUUCACAUAGUAAUGUACAUUUAACAGUAAAACAGAUGUUUGAGCUUUAGGAUGAAGUAAAGUUGAUUAAAUCUUGAUGCAUGUUUGUAUUUGUCAGCUGUUGUUUGUUGUUUAUGAAGAUUUGUAACAGAUACAAAAUAAUUUAAGAUACAAUAUCAUUGUUUUUAGUUAAUUUCUCAUUUAUGUCAGACACUGAUAUUAAUCUUUCAUCAUUAAAAUGUUACUUUAACAAUUCAAAUGUAUCAGAACUAAACAUAUUUAAAGAGAAAAAAUAUUUUACUUAAUUCACAAGAUCCAGGCUUUAAAGCUCCUUUGACAAAUUAAAAUAGUCUACCAGUAAAGUUUUUGAACAGGAAGAUUUUUUAUGUUUUUGAAAUAAUUUUCUUCUGCUCACCAAGCCAUUACAAGUUUUGAUAUUUAAAGUUUCUGAGAGUUUAUGAACAUUAAUGUGAUAAUAAAAACAAGGUCAAAAGGUCAAAAUUAUAACAUUAUGCAUUAUAAAUUAUAAUAAAAGGCUUUCGAGCAGU